CGCGGGAAUUCGAUUAGAGUUUGAUUAUGGCUCAGGACGAACGCUGGCGGCGUGCCUAAUACAUGCAAGUCGAGCGGAUCUUCAUUAGCUUGCUUUUGAAGAUCAGCGACGGACGGGUGAGUAACACGUGGGCAACCUGCCUGUAAGACUGGGAUAACUUCGGGAAACCGGAGCUAAUACCGGAUAAUCCUUUCCCUCACAUGAGGGAAAGCUGAAAGACGGUUUCGGCUGUCACUUACAGAUGGGCCCGCGGCGCAUUAGCUAGUUGGUGAGGUAACGGCUCACCAAGGCGACGAUGCGUAGCCGACCUGAGAGGGUGAUCGGCCACACUCGGACUGAGACACGGCCCAGACUCCUACGGGAGGCAGCAGUAGGGAAUCUUCCGCAAUGGACGAAAGUCUGACGGAGCAACGCCGCGUGAGCGAUGAAGGCCUUCGGGUCGUAAAGCUCUGUUGUCAGGGAAGAACAAGUACCGGAGUAACUGCCGGUACCUUGACGGUACCUGACCAGAAAGCCACGGCUAACUACGUGCCAGCAGCCGCGGUAAUACGUAGGUGGCAAGCGUUGUCCGGAAUUAUUGGGCGUAAAGCGCGCGCAGGCGGUUCCUUAAGUCUGAUGUGAAAGCCCCCGGCUCAACCGGGGAGGGUCAUUGGAAACUGGGGAACUUGAGUGCAGAAGAGGAGAGCGGAAUUCCACGUGUAGCGGUGAAAUGCGUAGAGAUGUGGAGGAACACCAGUGGCGAAGGCGGCUCUCUGGUCUGUAACUGACGCUGAGGCGCGAAAGCGUGGGGAGCGAACAGGAUUAGAUACCCUGGUAGUCCACGCCGUAAACGAUGAGUGCUAAGUGUUAGAGGGUUUCCGCCCUUUAGUGCUGCAGCAAACGCAUUAAGCACUCCGCCUGGGGAGUACGGCCGCAAGGCUGAAACUCAAAGGAAUUGACGGGGGCCCGCACAAGCGGUGGAGCAUGUGGUUUAAUUCGAAGCAACGCGAAGAACCUUACCAGGUCUUGACAUCCUCUGACAACCCUAGAGAUAGGGCGUUCCCCUUCGGGGGACAGAGUGACAGGUGGUGCAUGGUUGUCGUCAGCUCGUGUCGUGAGAUGUUGGGUUAAGUCCCGCAACGAGCGCAACCCUUGAUCUUAGUUGCCAGCAUUCAGUUGGGCACUCUAAGGUGACUGCCGGUGACAAACCGGAGGAAGGUGGGGAUGACGUCAAAUCAUCAUGCCCCUUAUGACCUGGGCUACACACGUGCUACAAUGGAUGGAACAAAGGGCAGCGAAGCCGCGAGGUGAAGCCAAUCCCAUAAAACCAUUCUCAGUUCGGAUUGCAGGCUGCAACUCGCCUGCAUGAAGCCGGAAUCGCUAGUAAUCGCGGAUCAGCAUGCCGCGGUGAAUACGUUCCCGGGCCUUGUACACACCGCCCGUCACACCACGAGAGUUUGUAACACCCGAAGUCGGUGGGGUAACCUUUAUGGAGCCAGCCGCCUAAGGUGGGACAGAUGAUUGGGGUGAAGUCGUAACAAGGUAGCCGUAUCGGAAGGUGCGGCUGGAUCACCUCCUUUAUGAAUCACUAGUGAAU
Molecule: ribosomal RNA, 1576 nt
Filed under: uncultured Bacillus sp.
Lineage: Bacteria; Bacillati; Bacillota; Bacilli; Caryophanales; Bacillaceae
Description: bacterial SSU rRNA
Rfam family: Bacterial small subunit ribosomal RNA
Source: RNAcentral